This 74-nucleotide transfer RNA is filed under the name Pseudomonadota bacterium. RNAcentral's name for it is "tRNA-Gln". It matches the Rfam family "tRNA". Rfam says of the family: Transfer RNA (tRNA) molecules are approximately 80 nucleotides in length. Their secondary structure includes four short double-helical elements and three loops (D, anti-codon, and T loops). The record is from RNAcentral. RNAcentral also lists the same sequence under 1 other name. Lineage: Bacteria; Pseudomonadati; Pseudomonadota.
UGCGGGGUGGUGUAACGGUAGCACAGCGGACUCUGGAUCCGCUAGUCUAGGUUCGAAUCCUAGCCCCGCAGCCA